RNAcentral lists this ribosomal RNA (405 nucleotides) under uncultured bacterium. RNAcentral's name for it is "bacterial SSU rRNA". It matches the Rfam family "Bacterial small subunit ribosomal RNA", at positions 30 to 440 of the family's 1533-position model. The record is from RNAcentral.
AUUGAACGCUGGCGGCAUGCCUUACACAUGCAAGUCGAACGGCAGCACGGGAGCAAUCCUGGUGGCGAGUGGCGAACGGGUGAGUAAUAUAUCGGAACGUGCCCAGUCGUGGGGAUAACGUAGCGAAAGCUACGCUAAUACCGCAUACGAUCUACGGAUGAAAGCGGGGGAUCGCAAGACCUCGCGCGAUUGGAGCGGCCGAUAUCAGAUUAGGUAGUUGGUGAGGUAAAGGCUCACCAAGCCGACGAUCUGUAGCUGGUCUGAGAGGACGACCAGCCACACUGGGACUGAGACACGGCCCAGACUCCUACGGAGGCAGCAGUGGGGAAUUUUGGACAAUGGGCGCAAGCCUGAUCCAGCAAUGCCGCGUGCAGGAUGAAGGCCUUCGGUGUAACUGCUUUGUAC